Non-coding RNA from Cordylochernes scorpioides, 66 nucleotides. The record is from the annotation of a GenBank genome assembly. NCBI's taxonomy places the organism in Eukaryota, Metazoa, Arthropoda, Arachnida, Pseudoscorpiones, Chernetidae.
GUUCAGAGAUGGGAAUCGAACCCACAGUGUUCCAGGCAGAUGCCAUGUCCACUAGGCCACCCUGGA